This 520-nucleotide ribosomal RNA is filed under the name uncultured Glomeromycotina. RNAcentral's name for it is "SSU rRNA". It matches the Rfam family "Eukaryotic small subunit ribosomal RNA", at positions 569 to 1092 of the family's 1831-position model. The record is from RNAcentral. Lineage: Eukaryota; Fungi; Glomeromycota.
AGCAGCCGCGGUAAUUCCAGCUCCAAUAGCGUAUAUUAAAGUUGUUGCAGUUAAAAAGCUCGUAGUUGAAUUUCGGGAUUAGUACGCUGGUCAUGCCUUUGGUAUGUACUGGUGUUACUGGUUCCUACUUCUGAAGAACCGUCAUGUCAUUAAUUUGGUGUGGCGGGGAAUCAGGACUGUUACUUUGAAAAAAUUGAGUGUUUAAAGCAGGCUCGCGCUUGAAUACAUUAGCAUGGAAUAAUGGAAUAGGACGUUUGACCCUAUUUUGUUGGUUUCUAGGAUUGACGUAAUGAUUAAUAGGGAUAGUUGGGGGCAUUAGUAUUCAAUUGUCAGAGGUGAAAUUCUUGGAUUUAUUGAAGACUAACUACUGCGAAAGCAUUUGCCAAGGAUGUUUUCAUUAAUCAAGAACGAAAGUUAGGGGAUCGAAGACGAUCAGAUACCGUCGUAGUCUUAACCAUAAACCUAUAGCCGUACUAGGGAUCGGAUGAUGUUAUUUAACUGACUCAUUCGGCUCCUUGAC